UAAAUUAAAACAUCCCCCUGGAGGACGUAAGCCAGUGUGAGAAGCCGACACACUGAAGCAGAGAGAGAGAGAAAGAGAAGAAGAUGGGUGUGAAAGUAUAUUCAAUUGACGUCCUGAGGGAGCCCAAAGUAGGAGUAAUAUUCUCAGCUGAGCAAGGGAUGAAGGUUGAGACGAUAGGGCCAAGGUUUAAGCAGAAGCAGGGGAGUGUGUUUCCGAGGAAGAGGAAGCUGGUUAAAAAGAUGAUCCUAGAAUCCAUAGUUAAGUCUUUAACUUCUCUCUUUCUCUCGUAUGGGUGUUCCCAAUCUUAGUACACCAAAAUUUCAGUUUCCAAGUAACUUGUUACAUUUUUAUUAAAGGUCUUUGAUUAUGUUGUCAAGUAGUUUUUUAAUCAUUCAUAUGUUAUGUUGUAACUUCUUUUAUAUGGAUAUUGAGUCUUUACUCUUCAAUGGCCUAGCUAUGUGUAAUGGCCUCUGUUUUUAUAUAUUUAAGUAUUAAGGAG
Molecule: long non-coding RNA, 499 nt
Filed under: Durio zibethinus
Lineage: Eukaryota; Viridiplantae; Streptophyta; Magnoliopsida; Malvales; Malvaceae
Description: long non-coding RNA (DZIB_LNC000026)
Source: RNAcentral